GAGAAUCUCUUGAACCCGGGAGGUGGAGGUUGUAGUGAGCUGAGAUCAUGCCACUGCACUCCAGCCUGGGCAACAGAGUGAGACUCUGUUUCAAACAACAAAGAUGAGUUGAGUGUAGCCCCUAUCCUUCAGAAUCUUCCAGCCAACUUGGGAGAGACUUAAUAGCUAUAGUAGAGGGAUGUGAAAGAUGCUAUGAGAUCUCAGAGGAGGAGAAUUCUAACUCAUCCUCAUGCUUCAGAAAGAGGCUAUUGUCCUGAGACUGAAAGCUCCAAAAUGGAUGGGAGAACUCAAUAAGUUAGGGCUUACUAUAGAAAGGACUGUGCUAGACUCAAGUGUAAUGUGUUGAAUGACUCCAGGUAAUCUAGUGUGCCUCUUCCUGCUUUUCCACUUCAAAGUAAAUUGUUAGAUACAGCAGAGAUGGGCUCUAGAAAGAAGUGGAAGGCCACAUGAUGGCAUGUAUGUAGUUCUGAGGAGGUCGACAUUUGUCUGAUAGAAACAGGAAACAAUUGAACUUGUGACCUUCCUCUUUGGUUGGCCUUUAGAAUAUCAAGUCUGCUCUCCCAACUGUAAGCAGGAGCACAGCCUUGGAGUGACUCCUUAGUGCCACUGAUACCUGGGAAGACUGUUGAUUAUUCAGUGUUUCAGUCCCACCUUUGUCUUGCUUUAACAGGAGCACUAAUUUCCUUUCCUUUUCUCCUUUCCCUUGUCACAAUGAUUCUUUUCAUUUGGUCUACUCCUGUCAUUUUUUUUACCUACCACAAAGUUAGUAGUCCACCAACAUAUCCUUUCCCUUCUCAGAAUGGAGUCCCGCCUGCCAUUUUAUCUUGAGGACCUUAAAAAAUUAAUAACUCUGGUUGUCUAACCUAGGGACUGGAAGAUGACAAAAAUUGUACUACAAAGAAUUGGUAAGGAGUUAUUGUAGCCUAGGUAAGAAAAAAAAUAAGGGUCUUACUAAGACUGGCAGUGGAAAUGGAAAAGAGGUAACACAUUGGAGGGAAAUUUAGGAGGCAGAAUUGACAGGAUCUGAAAUGGUUUGAAUAUUGUUGAGGUAGAGAAGGAGGAUUAGACAAUCCAGACAACUGAAUGGAAGACGGAUAAAAAAAUAAGGGAGAGAAAAGAUAAUUGGUGGGCUUGCAUCUCUGAAGAUAGAAGAAGGGAUUUGAUCUAGAAUGCACAGGAAGAGAUUAGCCUUAAACAGAAAGAAAUUUUUUUUUCUCUGUGGUCUGAAGAGAAGGUCUGGUUGGGAAGAGCAGCCAGUCCACUUGCUUUUAA
This 1272-nucleotide long non-coding RNA is filed under the name Homo sapiens (human). RNAcentral describes it as "HSALNT0161875". The record is from RNAcentral. Lineage: Eukaryota; Metazoa; Chordata; Mammalia; Primates; Hominidae.